This 177-nucleotide ribosomal RNA is filed under the name uncultured delta proteobacterium. Its description in RNAcentral is "partial 16S ribosomal RNA". It matches the Rfam family "Bacterial small subunit ribosomal RNA", at positions 387 to 546 of the family's 1533-position model. Lineage: Bacteria; Deltaproteobacteria. The record is from RNAcentral.
CGCAGCAAUACCGCGUGAGUGAUGAAGGCUCUUGGGUCGUAAAGCUCUGUCAGAGGGGAAGAACCUCCUAACGUAUAAUACACGUUAGGCCUGACGGUACCCUCAGAGGAAGCACCGGCUAACUCCGUGCCAGCAGCCGCGGUAAUAAUCGAAUUCCCGCGGCCGCCAUGGCGGCCG